GACGAACGCUGGCGGCGUGCCUAACACAUGCAAGUCGAGCGGAGUUACCUUUAGCACUGAGUAUUCUUAAUGAAACUAUUAAAUGGCGACAGCGUCAUGCUGAAACGACAUUAAUGGCUCUUGAAAUCAAGUUUCAGCAUCACGCGUUUUAUCAAAGUGACAACACAUGAUACAUCGAGUGGAAAGAAUACUGAGUGCUAAAGGUAGCUUAGCGGCGGACGGGUGAGUAACGCGUGGGCAACCUACCUAUAACUGGGGGAUAACACAGGGAAACUUGUGCUAAUACCGCAUAACACAGCGAAGAAGCAUUUCUUUGUUGUCAAAGGAGCAAUCCGGUGAUAGAUGGGCCCGCGUCCAAUUAGCUAGUUGGUGAUGUAACGGACCACCAAGGCGACGAUUGGUAGCCGAACUGAGAGGUUGAUCGGCCACAUUGGGACUGAGACACGGCCCAGACUCCUACGGGAGGCAGCAGUGGGGAAUAUUG
Molecule: ribosomal RNA, 484 nt
Filed under: uncultured bacterium
Lineage: Bacteria
Description: bacterial SSU rRNA
Rfam family: Bacterial small subunit ribosomal RNA
Source: RNAcentral